Long non-coding RNA from Anguilla rostrata (American eel), 3343 nucleotides. RefSeq lists it as uncharacterized. The record is from RefSeq and is a predicted model, not a curated record. The transcript has 3 exons. NCBI's taxonomy places the organism in Eukaryota, Metazoa, Chordata, Actinopteri, Anguilliformes, Anguillidae.
UGCUGUGAGUCGUUGCAUAUGUCUGACCUGCAAAGAGGUAAUAGCUCCUAGGAGGAUGUCAAAAAGAAAGAAAGAAAAAAAAAAAAAAUCUGGAGAAAAAUUUAAAGAGGCAGACGGAAGUCAAAAAACACGAAAAUCUCAAGGGGUGCACAUCAAAGUGCAGUUUGAAGGAUCAAAUGAAAACUGGAAUCACUUUGUUAUCUGACAACUGCAGAUCUUCAAAGCUCCCCUCAAAGCCCCUCAGCCAAAAGAUACCAGCGGCGAAGAGGAGAAUGGAAGAGGCGUCUUGUUUGGGCCACGCCAACGACGUGUGAAAUUGCCGAGCCUGCCAUUGGCUUCACUUCCUGCCUGGUGUAAGCCGGCUCGCACAAACAGGAAACCGUUUGCUGCUGCUGCUGCUGCCGUGUUGAAAAACAAUAUGAGUAAUCGAAGGUACAAGGCACUAACAAAAGCUCUUCUGCAGAGCCUACCCUGGUUGAUGCACAACCCGUGGAAAGAAAACAGGUUAUUACAUCGCCAUGGCAAACAACCGAUGUCUGUCCGCCAUGUCAAAAAUGGCAGGAUGUGCAUUAUGAAGAGGCAGUCCAGAUGGCGAUGAAGGAGCGUUUAUCAUUGCCAGAAGACCUGCUGGCAUGAUGUCUGAAGACUGCGUCAUCAAGAAGCCGCAAAAAUGUUUUAUGGAUCUCCAGCAGAAUCCCCCAGAAGUCUUCCUUUCGCCUCCCAAAGCAUCUGCCUCCCUGUGCACAGGGGCAAGAUUCCCUCGCAUUUUCUACCAGGCACGUUCACCUCUUUGGUUUUAAACUUCUUAAUUGUUGACCGGAAUGCAGAAACGGUACCUUUAGAUUUUAAUUAAUUUCUUUGUGACCAUCACCUGAUUUAUAAAGGUCAACAACCCUUCGUGUUGUCUCUUCUGAGAAUUCUUUGCCUUUCGCCAUGAAUAAAUUACAUUUACUUCUGAAGAGACAGACGCUCUGCAAUGGGCAGUCUGCCACGUCUUUCAUGCUAAUUUACAAUAAACACAGAUUUGAGUGAAAGAACUGCAGGAAACGUUCAACACCACACAUUACAAUGUGGGAUAUCGCAUUGAUAAGCUUGACGUGUACACAUUUGCUUCUCUGAAAACUAAUGGUAUAGACACAAUUAAAGGCACUUGGUCUGAAACACCAUUACCAGAUUGCCCUCAGCAGCGAAAGCUUCCUUAGUUCUUGGCAGGUUUACUGUGUGCUCUGUAGUAUGAAAUGGGAAAUGACAGCCCAUUGUUAUGUGUUGCUUUCAAACAAUCAAUCUGCAUCAGGAUUAUGAUGAUGAAAACUACAAUACCCUUUAAAUUAAUGUACAUCUAUAAAGCCGAAACUCGAGUACUGGAUAGCUAAACCUGCAUGCUUUCAUUCUUCUAUAAUUGCAUUAUUGUGUUAUUUUGCAUUGCAGUGGUUUUGUAAUGUAUGUGCUCUUAUGAAGCCACAUUUGCGGUGAUGUGAAAUGCAUGCAAGCGUUCAGUUCAGUUGCCUCGCGGCUACAGUGUGAACAUAUAUGCUGGAACAUCACAACCUCCAUUCCGGCUCAAGCCAUUUCAUUUUUUCUUUUUGUUUCCUUCCUACUUUCAGUAGCACUCAACAUUAUGGAGGUGACUGGGUUAAUGCCGCUAUGACAGGCUGGGGCCCAGGUCAGUAGCGUGGGGAUGCAAAAGUUCACAUCUGGUUGCUUCUGUUCAGCCAUACACAAGUUACAGAGGUGAGGAUUAGGGGGGGGAAAAGAUCUUUUAGACUUGAACACCGUUCAGUUUCAUUAAUUUGACUAAGGAAUUGCACUCUAGAGCAUAGCAGCACUGUUUCAGUCCACUAACACUGAGAUCCAACUUCCCCUUGGUCACCCAUACAGUGUUUUAAUCUAAUUUCCAUACUGCUGCCAAAUCACUUUCAGUUGCUUCAUUGAGACCGGGUGGACAGGAACUUCCUUAGAAUUAUAGGACCAGACUUCCUGUUUCUUUUUUAAUCUUUCGUCAACAUCUUGCAUGCCUUUCAAAAACCCAGCAGCCGUCUCAAGGGCAGUGUUUAAGGACGUGAAAAUGCGCAGAACGAGAAACACUGAAAACAAAAGAGAGCUCAUUCCUUGCGUGCCGACAGAAACGCAAUUUCACAGGAAGUGAAGAAAAUCCCCUCCUCUCGUUUAAUUUAAAAUAGUAUGACUCACACUCAAUUCGCUGUCAAAUAAUCACAUUACAAAAAAAACUAGCAAAAUAAAAAUAAAACAAUAUGUUGAGACAAAAUGUUUAAUUUUGAUUAAUUUGAAGCGUUUGUCUUCCAUGUAAAUUUCUCGGCAUUAAGGAUCCUCGCUCCAGAAUCCAAUUAUUCAGCUCAUCCGUCAUCAAAAACGCGGCACAUUCUCCUACUGCUAUUAAUUCUUCCCUUCAGAAGCUCAGAUAAUAGCAUAUCUGCUCUGCAUUAUGCAUAGUUUUUUUUUACAUUCAUAAUUCAAACGACAGUCUAGAGUCAAAGUCGUUCAAUCACACAGACUCAGCCUUCAUAAUGUGCACAUUUCAGACCUGAUCAUUUAAUUGUGAACUGUGACUGAUGGGAUUCUUUGGAAGACGACCGGCUCAAAAAGUGAUAUUUGGGCACUAUUUGGAUUCGGCCCUGUUCUUCUAUUUUUACUAUCAAAAUCAAUACAAGCACAAUUUUCCAUUAUUUCAUGUCACAAAUCAUUGAGCUUGCCAAACACUGUAAAGAAAAAAGUAAGACUUUGAAACUGCAAGUCAGAAAUUAUUUCGUGUACUGUAGUUGCCAUGCUGCAAUAUCCUCAGCAUAUGAGCUAUGUAUUUACACCUACACAUAAAAAUGAUCCUACUAUUCACACACUCAUUUGAACUGGCUUAAUUAAAAUAUAUACGUUAUAUACCCACCCCUACAACUUCAGCAUCUCAGCAAACCUAAAUAUGUUUUAAUUGCGCGUUUAUGCUGGGGACACAUAAAACAAGAGCAUGAACCAUAAAUGAGUGAAAAACAACACACACGCAUGCACAGUCUGCCACGUCAUUAUAUACACAUGAAUGUUCCUGCUUUACGCCUACGACUGGACCAUUUCCAAAUCAUUCUGCAAACAGUACAGUGAACAAUGUCAACAUUCAGUUGCCUCUCUGCAGGCAAAGUCAAGGGCACCUUAUCCUGGGCACUGCACCUCAAGCACAGCACCAUGCUGCUACUGUAAAACAUGACAGAUUAUUGCCAGUGCAUCCAUAUAACUUCAGUGAUAUUGCAUAAAUUGUGUGUUCUUUUUUUUUUUUUUUUAAAUACUGUCAUGAUUGUUAAAGGGGAACGUCUAUUAAUAAACUUCUGUCAAACAGGGA